Molecule: long non-coding RNA, 505 nt
Organism: Triticum aestivum (bread wheat)
Lineage: Eukaryota; Viridiplantae; Streptophyta; Magnoliopsida; Poales; Poaceae
Exons: 3
Source: RefSeq, a predicted model, not a curated record
UAUCGUCACCUAACUGAACAAACCAGUGCUGUACCAACGGAUCCUUCUCAACGCAAACGUUACCGUGAUCGGGUUAGGUAUAUGCAGAUGACGCCACAACAGAGAGAAGCUUAUUUGAAAAGGAAUCGUGAGUACAAACGAAUCAAGCGAGGUGACAGUGCAAUUAGUAAGACUGUGCAACCCGUAAGAGGGGAGACCAGUAUGAGUACCAAUGAUAACACACACUUGCCAACUGAAUCUUCUACGACGCCAGAAGGGAAAGAAGUAGCCGUGACUAUGUUACAAGAACAAGAAAGCCUUCCAUUUUCAGGUUCUAUGACACACAGUUCAGGGGUCCAUCAAAGUAGGUGUCUGACAAAAAGGAAACGAGUGACAACAGUCGAUAGUUAUGAUGUGUCUGCAUCUGACCAAAGCGUCCUUGUUCAGCCAAACAUGUGCCACCCAAAAAAGGGUACUCGGCUGAAGAUCAGUCCAUCUGGAAUUUCUGUAUCUCCUAUUGCUUCGG